CGGGCUGUAGCUCAGCUUGGCUAGAGCGCUUGAAUGGGGUUCAAGAGGUCGCUGGUUCGAAUCCAGUCAGCCCGACCA
RNAcentral lists this transfer RNA (78 nucleotides) under Bryobacteraceae bacterium. Its description in RNAcentral is "tRNA-Pro". It matches the Rfam family "tRNA". Rfam says of the family: Transfer RNA (tRNA) molecules are approximately 80 nucleotides in length. Their secondary structure includes four short double-helical elements and three loops (D, anti-codon, and T loops). Further hydrogen bonds mediate the characteristic L-shaped molecular structure. tRNAs have two regions of fundamental functional importance: the anti-codon, which is responsible for specific mRNA codon recognition, and the 3' end, to which the tRNAs corresponding amino acid is attached (by aminoacyl-tRNA synthetases). tRNAs cope with the degeneracy of the genetic code in two manners: having more than one tRNA (with a specific anti-codon) for a particular amino acid; and 'wobble' base-pairing, i.e. permitting non-standard base-pairing at the 3rd anti-codon position. Lineage: Bacteria; Pseudomonadati; Acidobacteriota; Terriglobia; Bryobacterales; Bryobacteraceae. The record is from RNAcentral.